GUGAGUAGCAGUGGGAGAUGAAAUCUUGGUUGGGGCACCGGUUGCUUUUCGGGUCACGGGUGGCGCGGUUUGACCUUGAAUCCAUCGGAGUCACGUCCGAGCUCAUUCCGGUAUAGGACAGGGUGGUCAGAUGUUGAGGUCACUGAGAAACUCUUUACGAACCCACACAAGCCCUCGAGUUCAGGAGCAGAGGGCAGCAAGGGGCCGAUGUUCAACUCUAUAUAACCCAUUGCUGCAUAACCCAGGCAGAUUGCAGCCUCCUCGGCUCUCUCUCCAUCGGCCCUGACACGUCCUCAUUCAGCCAUUAUUCAUCCUGUUGCUGCUCCCCAUCAAUCCCCCGCCGGCACAAUGGCCCGUGACAGCAGCACCGACAGGCCCGUGACAGGUCUGUGCCACCCGGGAGGCCUGUCCCAGCCAGCCAGCCCACGACGCCGGAGAGGACAAACAGACGUGAACAUGCACAGCUCACCCCCCCCCCUCAUCCGCCCCUCACCCACCCACUUCCCAAACCUAGUUGGCGCCUGGCUGUUCAGCCCCACCCUCUUACCUGCCUGCAGGCCUGGAUUACAUCCUCCGCAUCGUACUGUACAAACACGGCCGAGGGGCUCUGACUCCGGCAUUGUCGGCCUCUCUGUCGGCAUGCCGCUUCGGUCUAGACUGCUAGACCUCGGCAGCUAAAUGGGGGGGGACGCGGGGGGGUUGCCAAGAAAUUAUCCCCAGGGGAUGAAGCUUGCUGACUUUGGAAAUCCUCUGACUUUUUUUCUGUAGUGCCACCAUGAGGACAUUAAAUGGAGUUUUUCAAUUGAAGUUCUCCGUAGGUUACAUCAUUGCAUCAAUGACUCUUUAAGUGGUCCCGGGAAACUGCAGGUUUUUGACCAGGUUCCUUUAAAGAUAAAAAGCCUUUCACAAUAUGACAUCCUUCAACAAUCUGUCGUCUUCAUUACGGCCUUUUUCUCUUGUGAUUUUGAAUCUCCAGUAGCUUUGUUUCACGGUUCAUACCAUGAGCCUUUAGUUUCUAACCAUUUUGCCAAACCACAAACCAACCAUAAAGUUGUCUUUUUUAAACUUUGUUUCAACCUUUUAAAAGUGUUUUUCCUUCGAC
Gasterosteus aculeatus aculeatus (three-spined stickleback) is the source of this 1102-nucleotide long non-coding RNA. NCBI's taxonomy places the organism in Eukaryota, Metazoa, Chordata, Actinopteri, Perciformes, Gasterosteidae. The record is from Ensembl.